RNAcentral lists this ribosomal RNA (429 nucleotides) under bacterium. RNAcentral describes it as "partial 16S ribosomal RNA". It matches the Rfam family "Bacterial small subunit ribosomal RNA", at positions 355 to 776 of the family's 1533-position model. The record is from RNAcentral.
UAGGGAAUCUUCCACAAUGGACGCAAGUCUGAUGGAGCAACGCCGCGUGAGUGAAGAAGGUUUUCGGAUCGUAAAGCUCUGUUGUUGGUGAAGAAGGAUAGAGGCAGUAACUGGUCUUUAUUUGACGGUAAUCAACCAGAAAGUCACGGCUAACUACGUGCCAGCAGCCGCGGUAAUACGUAGGUGGCAAGCGUUGUCCGGAUUUAUUGGGCGUAAAGCGAGCGCAGGCGGAAUGAUAAGUCUGAUGUGAAAGCCCACGGCUCAACCGUGGAACUGCAUCGGAAACUGUCAUUCUUGAGUGCAGGAAAGGAGAGUGGAAUUCCAUGUGUGGCGGUGGAAUGCGUAGAUAUAUGGAAGAACACCAGUGGCGAAGGCGGCUCUCUGGUCUGCAACUGACGCUGAGGCUCGAAAGCAUGGGUAGCGAACAGG